RNAcentral lists this long non-coding RNA (1441 nucleotides) under Olea europaea subsp. europaea. The record is from RNAcentral. Lineage: Eukaryota; Viridiplantae; Streptophyta; Magnoliopsida; Lamiales; Oleaceae.
GUAGGGAGAGUUUUUUUUUUGUUAUUUUUAAUAUUUUAAUAAUUUAUUUGGACUAAUAUGUACUUUUUAAAAAGUUUGGAACUAUAGCUACAAUUUAUUUAUUUUUCUUUUCUUUUUUGUUUUACUUAAAUAGAAGGGCAUAUUGAUUAUUUUACGUUAAAAAUUGGUGAAAAGAACGUUCAGUGCAAAAAAAGGUGGAAGGUAAAGAUGAAAAUGCCAAGAAAUGAAAAGUAGGGGCGUUUUGUGCCAAUUGUCCUUUUAUAAUUCUUAGAACAAGAACUCAUUAGUAGUAAAUUCUAUUAAAGAGAUUUCGAAAGUUUGACGUUGAAGUGUACUAAGGGAAAAAUCAAGCCAAUAUUGUUUUUCUAUAUAGAUAUCGAUAAAUGUGUUUUAUGCGCUUUCUGAGUGUCUAAACUCAUAUGAUAUUGAUUUAUUGGGUGGAUUUCUACUCGAUAUUGUAUCUCAUUUGAUUCUCAUUCUUUGACCACAAAAAUAAAAAAUAUGACUGUUAUCCAUCACAUCAANNNNNNNNNNNNNNNNNUUUCAUAACGACUAUAUUUUUCAUUCUUAUUUUUAGAAAAAUGACAAUCAAACAGGGCCUGUGUAUAUGUUGUGUGUAGGUAAAAAUCCGACUUGAAGGUGAAUUGAUGACCCAGAAGAGGAUUUGGAGCUAAAUUGAUGCAAAAAAGGGAUAGGGUUGCAUCCAUAUUGAAAGCUUUUCAGAGUCGAUUGGAUGACUUUGUAAGUUUUGGAGACCAAAUUUGCCAUUUGGAGAGUUCGGAGACCAAAAAGUUGAAGAUAUCAAAGGUUGGAGGACAAAAUUUGAUGAAGCCGAAAGUUCUUGGGCCAACAUUUACACGUGAAAAAGGACUUAAAUUGAGACAGCUCAAAUUUGAGGAACCAAUUGAAAGAGCUUUAAGCUUGGGGGUCACAACGCGAAUACUUAAAAAUAGAGAACCUUGAGGUCACAUGAACGCUACAUGCUAACUCCAUUGGGGCUUGAACAAGAAAAAUAAAUUUUGCAGCUGAGUCUAGCCAGAUUCAAAAUUUGAUUAUUUAAACUUAAAUUCAAGGAUAGCUUGAGUACUCAUUAAAUUUUAGGCAUUGAAGGAUCAUAAAAGGGAAUAGAUCAAGAAAAGAAAGAAGACUUUUUGAAGGAGGAAAAUAUCGUUCAAGUUUAGGGUUGGUUUGAUUCAUGAUUUAUGACGGAGUUCUUGGCGCAAUAUUUCUUCUUCCAAUCUUCUUUACUUCAAGGAUCAAUCAAAACCCAAUUUUGUAUUUCAAUUUCAUUAGUCGUUUUCUUCUUUUAUUAUGAGCAACUACAAUAAUUUUUUUUUUCCUAUAAAGUUAUGAUUCUUGGUUGUAAACUAGAUACAUGUUUACUAACUUUACAGUCAUUAUUGACUUUUUUUAUUGAAUUUUCUUAAUUAAAGCUUACUUA